ACCAGUGUGGCUCAGUGGAAAGAGCCUGGGCUUCGGAGUCAGAGGUCAUGGGUUCGAAUCCCGGCUCUGCCA
Molecule: transfer RNA, 72 nt
Filed under: Ornithorhynchus anatinus (platypus)
Lineage: Eukaryota; Metazoa; Chordata; Mammalia; Monotremata; Ornithorhynchidae
Rfam family: tRNA
About the family: Transfer RNA (tRNA) molecules are approximately 80 nucleotides in length.
Source: Rfam by way of RNAcentral